GCCUGGCUCUGUCCACGACAGUCGAUUUUUUGCUAACAGCAGAGUAAGUGUCAUGUAUGAGCAGAAGGCAGUAACUGGCAUCCUCCUUGGUGAUCAAGGUUACGCAUGCUCGCCCUGUUUGAUGACUCCACUGAGGAACUCUCGAACAACUGCAGAGAAAAGGUACAACAGGAGUCACAUUAGAACGAGGAAUUCCAUUGAGCGGACAAGAUUGCUUGCACUUUGCGGGAUCCCAUCCCUAUUGGCGAUGAACCAGAGCCUAAAGAUGCAGGUGUGGAAUUGCACGAACCUGACUCACCUCUGUGCACCCUACAUCGAAGGCACCUUAUCCAGCGUUGCUUCAAAGUGCCCAAAGUGAAGAUGACAGCGAUAUGGACAUUGUGUAGAGCACGAAGGCGAGCCUCCAGCUCCGUCGACAAUGCUGUGUCGACAGCGGCAAGACGGCCACCUUGGCGACGGCGGACAACUGGCUGAGCUCCUGAACCUUGGUCCACGAAAGCUUCUUCUCUGUUUUGGCUGCACGACGGCCUUGAGGUUGCCGUUUCUGCAGGCAGUCCACCACUGCUUAGAGGAGGUGCUGGCGAGCUCUGCUGUGUUGUAGCCUCAGCAAACUCAUUUUCUGCCUGGCUUAGGUCACGGUUCAUCACGAACUCUGGAAGUAACAGUGUUGAUAAAAGUUUCACAGCGUUUUUGAAAAA
Molecule: long non-coding RNA, 698 nt
Organism: Dermacentor silvarum
Lineage: Eukaryota; Metazoa; Arthropoda; Arachnida; Ixodida; Ixodidae
Exons: 3
Source: RefSeq, a predicted model, not a curated record